This 381-nucleotide ribosomal RNA is filed under the name Ototyphlonemertes lactea. RNAcentral's name for it is "partial 16S ribosomal RNA". It matches the Rfam family "Bacterial large subunit ribosomal RNA", at positions 1833 to 2532 of the family's 2925-position model. Lineage: Eukaryota; Metazoa; Nemertea; Enopla; Monostilifera; Ototyphlonemertidae. The record is from RNAcentral.
GUUUUUUGUGUUUUAAAAAUUUUUUCUGCUCGGUGUUUAUUAACAGCCGCGGUACUUUGACCGUGCAAAGGUAGCAUAAUCAUUUGCCUCGUAAUUGGGGGCUGGAAUGAAAGAAUAAACGAAAGUUUUUCUUUAUUUUAAGAAUUUAAGGAAUUUUCUUUUUUAGUGAAGAAGCUAAAAUGUGAAAGGGGACAAGAAGACCCUUUUGAGCUUUACUUAUUAGCUUUCUAUGCUUGAUAAGUUUGGUUGGGGCGACCAAGGAAAAUCUUCCUUUAAAAUUUUGAUCCGUUUUUUACGAUUAAAAGAACAAGUUACCAAAGGGAUAACAGCGUAAUCUUUUUUGAGAGUUCUUAUUAAAAAAAAGGGUUGCGACCUCGAUGU